Molecule: ribosomal RNA, 442 nt
Filed under: uncultured bacterium
Lineage: Bacteria
Description: partial 16S ribosomal RNA
Rfam family: Bacterial small subunit ribosomal RNA
Source: RNAcentral
CCUACGGGAUGCUGCAGUGGGGAAUAUUGGGCAAUGGGCGCAAGCCUGACCCAGCAACGCCGCGUGAAGGAAGAAGGCUUUCGGGUUGUAAACUUCUUUUAAGAGGGAAGAGCAGAAGACGGUACCUCUUGAAUAAGCCACGGCUAACUACGUGCCAGCAGCCGCGGUAAUACGUAGGUGGCAAGCGUUGUCCGGAUUCACUGGGUGUAAAGGGCGUGUAGCCGGGCUGACAAGUCAGAUGUGAAAUCCCGUGGCUCAACCACGGAACUGCAGUUGAAACUGUCGGUCUUGAGUAUCGGAGAGGCAGGCGGAAUUCCUAGUGUAGCGGUGAAAUGCGUAGAUAGUAGGAGGAACACCAGUGGCGAAGGCGGCCUGCUGGACGACAACUGACGGUGAGGCGCGAAAGCGUGGGGAGCAAACAGGAUUAGAUACCCCAGUAGUC